CAACCCUCAAGCCCUGCUUGGUGUUGGGGCCCUACGGCUGCCGUAGGCCCUGAAAGGAAGUGGCGGGCUCGCUACAACUCCGAGCGUAGUAAUUCAUUAUCUCGCUUAGGGCGUUGUGCGGUGCUCCAGCCGUUAAAGACCAUCUUUAACUCAA
This 154-nucleotide unclassified non-coding RNA is filed under the name Coniochaeta baysunika. RNAcentral's name for it is "partial internal transcribed spacer 2". Lineage: Eukaryota; Fungi; Ascomycota; Sordariomycetes; Coniochaetales; Coniochaetaceae. The record is from RNAcentral.